GACGAACCGUGCGAACGUUAUUCGGAAUCACUGGGCUUAAAGCGCGUGUAGGCGGGACGGCGCGUCGGCCGCUGAAAUCCCCCGGCUCAACCGGGGAAGUGGCGCCGAAACGGCCGCCCUGGAGCGACGUAGGGGGGACUGGAACUUCCGGUGGAGCGGUGAAAUGCGUUGAGAUCGGAAGGAACGCCCGUGGCGAAAGCGGGUCCCUGGACGUCGGCUGACGCUGAGACGCGAAAGCCAGGGGAGCGAACGGG
RNAcentral lists this ribosomal RNA (254 nucleotides) under uncultured bacterium. RNAcentral describes it as "partial 16S ribosomal RNA". It matches the Rfam family "Bacterial small subunit ribosomal RNA", at positions 524 to 776 of the family's 1533-position model. The record is from RNAcentral.